UACGUAGGGCGCAAGCGUUAUCCGGAAUUAUUGGGCGUAAAGAGCUCGUAGGCGGUUUGUCGCGUCUGCCGUGAAAGUCCGGGGCUCAACUCCGGAUCUGCGGUGGGUACGGGCAGACUAGAGUGAUGUAGGGGAGACUGGGAUUCCUGGUGUAGCGGUGAAAUGCGCAGAUAUCAGGAGGAACACCGAUGGCGAAGGCAGGUCUCUGGGCCGAUACUGACGCUGAGGAGCGAAAGCGUGGGGAGCGAACAGG
RNAcentral lists this ribosomal RNA (253 nucleotides) under uncultured bacterium. Its description in RNAcentral is "partial 16S ribosomal RNA". It matches the Rfam family "Bacterial small subunit ribosomal RNA", at positions 524 to 776 of the family's 1533-position model. The record is from RNAcentral.